GCCGUCUUUAGAGGGAAGCAAGCGAAAUUCUGUCUGAAAGAGACGGCCGUGCUUCGCCUCACAGACGACCUUGUCGUCUUGACGAGAAAGGGCGCGCCAACAUCGUCGUCAGAAGGAGCUUGGAAAAGAUAAGAUGGAUGAAUACGUAAAAAACAAAUUAAUAGAA
Molecule: non-coding RNA, 166 nt
Organism: Danio rerio (zebrafish)
Lineage: Eukaryota; Metazoa; Chordata; Actinopteri; Cypriniformes; Danionidae
Source: RefSeq, a predicted model, not a curated record